UCCAAGUGUAAUCCUCAACAGAUUAUCAUCCCACUAAACAUUUCCACCAUCUAAUAUACUGACAGAAAUAACAUGAGAUUCAAGCUUUUAUUUCUAAAUGAAUCCCACAAAGCAAACACAGGGAAUGAAAGCUUGCAUAGACCAUUUAUAUGACACUUUCAAUUGAAUAAGACACUACAAAUCCCUCUAAACAUAGAAUAAGACCCUAGACAACAAUUUCACAUAGCAAUUAAAGAAAUGAUGAAACUAGGGUGAAAACUAUCGAAACUAUAACAUGAGUGAACUAAACUAGUAAACAUAUAACCUACAGCAACACAUACUUCCGAAACCAGCCAACUUCAUCAAUCAGCUUAGUGAUCACAUUACUCAAUUAUACAUGUACAAACUAGAAUGGCAAUUCCAGUUUUCAAUCAUAUUUAAAUGAAGUCUCACCCUUAGGAUAAACAGAUACUACAAAUGAUCAUACUUAAGUACUUAAGCUAGCAUGGGAUAUAAACCAAAAUACAACAAACAACAUGGAUAACUGAAUAAUGAGGGAUUUACACUUACAAUUUCAUGAUUUAAAUUACAUGCCUCAUACAAAAAACGAAACCCAAACUUCAUUUCAGUUUCAUAUACUUCAAACAUCUCAUACAAAAAUUCAGAUCCAUAACUUCAGCUUAUCAUUCAGUAAGUUCUGAAGAAAUACCUGGAAGAAAGAAAGCAGCAGAAGAAGAGAGUAAGAUUAGCAAGUUUACAACAUCAGUAACAAGGCAGGAAUCAAUAGCAAACGAGACCCCAACUUCAGAAAUGAACCAGGAAUUAAUUUCUAGCCAAUGGAACAGUAAUUCUCCCCCAAAAUUCUCAGCUUUUUCUCAAUGUGUAUUCCUGAAUAUAUAGCUUUUCAACUCUGAGUCUAUGUAUGUUUCUAGUUCCAUAAACUCUAUCUGUGUUACACCCUGAGUGACUCAAAAUUGAUUGAGUAGAUUAGGGUUUGAAAAGACUUCAAAGAGAGAAACCAAUCAAACAGUAAAAUAUGCAGCUGUUUUGUGAUUUUCAACUCUCAAUCUCUCAGUGUUUUCGAAGUGUUCCAGCUCUUCUCACUCUUAAGCUCUAUCUCUCAAUGUAUAUCCUUUCAGAAUAUGUGUUUGUGUGUGUCUAUUUAAAGACUAGAACCAAUCCUUUUUUUAUUCAAACCUUUCACUUUUGAGCCUGUACAUCCCCUUAGCACAUACAUCCUCUACCCUUUUAUAAUUAACCUAUGCUUGUUUUCUGAUUUUCCACUAACAAAAGUACUUAACAGGGUGUCAGCCCCACUAAUGAUCCAUUUUCAAUAGUUUAACCUAUUAAUUUAGUAGUGUUGGCAUACCACUUAUCUUAAACCAUUUAACAAACUCUUAUUCUCAAUUGGCAUACCACUUAUCUUAAACCAUUUAAUAUGCUCUUAUUCUCAAAUUAAAUCCUUUAAACCUGUGCUACUAAAUUUGAACCAAUCCUAUUAAUUAUCCCUUCCCGUUACUAAAAUUCCUUAAGAUGAGCUAUUAAGUAACAACAUAUUAUUCAGGGCCAUUCAACAAACAUACAUGAACCACAUAAAAAUCCUAAUUCAAACAAUUGCAGUGUGCCUACUCCAGAAAAAACUCAAACAACGUAAUAAAUCUAGAUUGUUUGCAAAAUUAAAUAACGAAUAAGUUAACAGUUUCAACAACAAACCUAAUAUUAAUUCUAACCAAUUGUCUGAGAGAAUAGAAAAAUAAAAAAAGAAGGAGAAGAAGAAGAAAAGACCAAAUUACAGAAAUCUAACAAGAAACUUGCCUGACCAAAAUCGAACCCAUCGACUUUAAUUUUCCGAUUUGAUCUCCAAAUAACUUCCCUCGCUCGUUCACUGUCAGGAACAAGCGAGUAUCGUUAUUUUGAUACUUAAUCGACUUUAUCUCUUUAGCCUAUUGCCCGAAAAAAGCAAAGUUUAUCUAGGCUUUCUAGGGUUCAAACCCUAGAUGUGAUAUUCGAGCCUUUAUGGUGAGAUUUGGGGGAAGCUGGUAAGGGAUUUGGGUGAGGUAGUCCGGUGAUUGUAUGGUAUCAAUUUGAGGUCAAUCGGGUAAACUAGGGUUCAACCAGACUUCUUCGAUUUGAGAUUCGAGAAACCUGGUCAAUAUUCGAGGGGAAGUGUUUGGAUAUUUGGAAUGGGGAGGUUGAGGCAAGGCUAGGGUGUUAAUUUGGAAGUCAUCGGCGAAGACGCCACCGGGUUCAGGGCGUUGGAGAGGGGUGGCAGCUGCUAGGGUUUGGGUCGUUUGGUCUCAGAUAUUGGAGACGAAGGGGAUGACGGGGCUUCAAAGGGGCGGGGGUCUAUAUAUAU
RNAcentral lists this long non-coding RNA (2335 nucleotides) under Nicotiana benthamiana. RNAcentral describes it as "long non-coding RNA (NBEN_LNC027220)". Lineage: Eukaryota; Viridiplantae; Streptophyta; Magnoliopsida; Solanales; Solanaceae. The record is from RNAcentral.